This 402-nucleotide ribosomal RNA is filed under the name uncultured bacterium. RNAcentral describes it as "bacterial SSU rRNA". It matches the Rfam family "Bacterial small subunit ribosomal RNA", at positions 355 to 774 of the family's 1533-position model. The record is from RNAcentral.
UGGGGAAUAUUGCACAAUGGAGGAAACUCUGAUGCAGCGACGCCGCGUGAGGGAAGAAGGUUUUCGGAUUGUAAACCUCUGUCCUUGGUGACGAUAAUGACGGUAGCCAAGGAGGAAGCCACGGCUAACUACGUGCCAGCAGCCGCGGUAAUACGGGGGGUGCAAGCGUUGUCCGGAAUCAUUGGGCGUAAAGCGUUCGUAGGCGGUAUAUCAAGUCUGGUGUUAAAGCCCGGGGCUCAACUCCGGUUCGGCACUGGAUACUGGUAAACUAGAAUGCGGUAGAGGUAAGGGGAAUUCCUGGUGUAGCGGUGAAAUGCGUAGAUAUCAGGAGGAACAUCGGUGGCGAAAGCGCCUUACUGGGCCGUAAUUGACGCUGAGGAACGAAAGCCGGGGGAGCAAAUG